RNAcentral lists this ribosomal RNA (700 nucleotides) under uncultured bacterium. RNAcentral's name for it is "bacterial SSU rRNA". It matches the Rfam family "Bacterial small subunit ribosomal RNA", at positions 695 to 1396 of the family's 1533-position model. The record is from RNAcentral.
UAUUAGAAAGAAUACCAAUUGCGAAGGCAGCUUUCUGGAUCAUUACUGACACUGAGGAACGAAAGCAUGGGUAGCGAAGAGGAUUAGAUACCCUCGUAGUCCAUGCCGUAAACGAUGUGUGUUAGACGUUGGAAAUUUAUUUUCAGUGUCGCAGCGAAAGCGAUAAACACACCGCCUGGGGAGUACGACCGCAAGGUUAAAACUCAAAUGAAUUGACGGGGACCCGCACAAGUAGUGGAGCAUGUGGUUUAAUUCGAAGAUACGCGCAGAACCUUACCAACACUUGACAUGUUCGUCGCGACUCUAAGAGAUUAGAGUUUUCGGUUCGGCCGGACGAAACACAGGUGCUGCAUGGCUGUCGUCAGCUCGUGUCGUGAGAUGUUGGGUUAAGUCCCGCAACGAGCGCAACCCUCACUUUUAGUUGCCAUCAUUUAGUUGGGCACUCUGAAAGAACUGCCAGUGAUAAGCUGGAGGAAGGUGGGGAUGACGUCAAGUCCUCAUGGCCCUUACGUGUUGGGCUACACACGUGCUACAAUGGUAUCUACAACAGGAAGCAAGACUGCGAAGUCAAGCAAAUCCUUAAAAGAUACCUCAGUUCGGAUUGCACUCUGCACCUCGAAUGCAUGAAGCUGGAAUUACUAGUAAUCGUGGAUCAGCGUGCCACGGUGAAUGCGUUCCCGGGCCUUGUACACACCGCCCA